This 509-nucleotide ribosomal RNA is filed under the name uncultured bacterium. RNAcentral's name for it is "bacterial SSU rRNA". It matches the Rfam family "Bacterial small subunit ribosomal RNA", at positions 28 to 526 of the family's 1533-position model. The record is from RNAcentral.
GAUGAACGCUAGCGGGAGGCUUAACACAUGCAAGUCGAGGGGCAUCACGAGGUAGCAAUACUUUGGUGGCGACCGGCGCACGGGUGAGUAACACGUAUGCAACCUACCCUGUACAGGGGGAUAACCCGGAGAAAUUCGGACUAAUAUCCCAUGAUGAUAUUGAGGGGCAUCCUUUAAUAUUUAAAGCUCAGGCGGUACGGGAUGGGCAUGCGGAACAUUAGCUAGUUGGCAGGGUAACGGCCUACCAAGGCUACGAUGUUUAGGGGACCUGAGAGGGUUAUCCCCCACACUGGUACUGAGACACGGACCAGACUCCUACGGGAGGCAGCAGUGAGGAAUAUUGGUCAAUGGGCGCAAGCCUGAACCAGCCAUCCCGCGUGAAGGAAGAAGGCGCUAUGCGUUGUAAACUUCUUUUCCAGGGGGUUGAAUAAUUCCGAUGUAUCGGGAGAUGACGGUACCCUGGGAAUAAGCAUCGGCUAACUCCGUGCCAGCAGCCGACGGUAAAAGUC